Long non-coding RNA from Astyanax mexicanus (Mexican tetra), 875 nucleotides. RefSeq lists it as uncharacterized. NCBI's taxonomy places the organism in Eukaryota, Metazoa, Chordata, Actinopteri, Characiformes, Acestrorhamphidae. The record is from RefSeq and is a predicted model, not a curated record. The transcript is spliced from 3 exons.
AUAGUGAUAAACUCUGAAGCUGUAUAUGAAGUUUGGAGGUGUGUAGUGAUGAACUCUGCAGCUACAUGAAGUUUGGAGGUGUGUAGUGAUGAACUCUAAAGCUACAUGAAGUUUGGGGGUGUGUAGUGAUGAACUCUGAAGCUACAUGACGUUUGGAGGUGUGUAGUGAUGAACUAUGAAGCUACAUACGAAGUUUGGAGGUGUGUAGUGAUACACUCUAAAGCUACAUAUGAAGUUUGGAGGUGUGUAGUGGUAAGCUCUGAAGCUACAUGAAGUUUGGAGGUGUGUAGUGAGUGAUGAGUUCUGCAGCUACAUAUGAAGUUUAGGGGUGUGUAGUGAUGAUCUCUGAAACUACAUGACGUUUGGAGGUGUGUAGUGAUGAACUCUGAAGCUACAUGAAGUUUGGAGGUGUGUAGUGAUGAACUCUGAAGCUACAUGGAGUUUGGGGGUGUGUAGUGAUGAACUUUGAAGCUACAUAUGAAGUUUGGAGGUGUGUAGUGAUAAACUCUGAAGCUACAAGAAGUUAGGAGGUGUUUAUUGAUGAACUCUGAAGCUACAUAUGAAGUUUGGAGGUGUGUAGUGAUAAACUCUGGAGGUACAUAAAGUUUGGAGGUGUGAAGUGAGUGAUGAACUCUGAAGCUCCAUAUGAAGUUUAGGGAUGUGUAGUGAUGAACUCUGAAGCUACAUGAAGUUUGGAGGUGUGUAGUGGUAAGCUCUGAAGCUACAUGAAGUUUGGAGGUGUGUAGUGAGUGAUGAGGUCUGAAGCUACAUAUGAAGUUUAGGGGUGUGUAGUGAUGAUCUCUGAAACUACAUGACGUUUGGAGGUGUGUAGUGAUGAACUCUGAAGCUACAUGAAGUUUGGAGGUGUGCAGUGA